AGGACGAACGCUGGCGGCGUGCUUAACACAUGCAAGUCGAGCGGUAAGGCCUUUCGGGGUACACGAGCGGCGAACGGGUGAGUAACACGUGGGUGAUCUGCCCUGCACUCUGGGAUAAGCCUGGGAAACUGGGUCUAAUACCGGAUAUGACCUGCUCUCGCAUGGGGGUGGGUGGAAAGAUUUAUCGGUGCAGGAUGGGCCCGCGGCCUAUCAGCUUGUUGGUGGGGUAAUGGCCUACCAAGGCGACGACGGGUAGCCGACCUGAGAGGGUGACCGGCCACACUGGGACUGAGACACGGCCCAGACUCCUACGGGAGGCAGCAGUGGGGAAUAUUGCACAAUGGGCGAAAAGCCUGAUGCAG
RNAcentral lists this ribosomal RNA (362 nucleotides) under uncultured soil bacterium. Its description in RNAcentral is "bacterial SSU rRNA". It matches the Rfam family "Bacterial small subunit ribosomal RNA", at positions 26 to 391 of the family's 1533-position model. The record is from RNAcentral.